Molecule: long non-coding RNA, 817 nt
Organism: Helianthus annuus (common sunflower)
Lineage: Eukaryota; Viridiplantae; Streptophyta; Magnoliopsida; Asterales; Asteraceae
Exons: 4
Source: RefSeq, a predicted model, not a curated record
UUCCCAUUAAGUGUAAUCAACUUUCAAUUCAAUCAUGACCAUUGGAUUUGGCUGAGAUUAAAUCUCAGCCACUCAAACUCACAUUUCUAACUGCUACAGCGGCGGUUCUCGUCAGUUUUUAGAUUGGAGGUUGCUCCGCCUUUUUCUGCCCAACUUCUCCACAAACCACGUUUACCCCUGGAUGGUGGGUUCAGUAAACUCCCAAGGAACUGUUUGAAGAGUGCCAUCAAGGAGGUUACAUACUCUCUCCAAAAAUGAAGUGGUUUACCUAAUUUAUCUCCUAAAAUCAUGGUAAAAACCACCCACUAUCUACAAAUCUGCAACAACUGCUUCUAUGCCUUCCUUAUAACCCACUAUGCAAUUCCCUUCAAAUCGCACCAUCCUUUCAUCUCUACAGCGCCAAAUAUACUACAUGGGCACUUUAAAAAACGAAGAUUGAUGUAAUUCUGAAAUUGCACCUUAACAAUUGAACCCUACAUCAAUGGAACAGCCACUGCCCUCGCUUUUGAUUUGUUUUGUUUCACAAGACCAGAAUAUCUUGAAACUUUUUCAGCAAUUUAUUUGUGUAUAGAGGUGAGGGUUGAUCAUAUGGCUAUUGCUUUGUUAAGGACUUAAAAAUCACCAAUUGUUGACACUGUACAAUUUCUUCCACAAAAUCGACAUGUACUAUUUUCCUCAUCAAUAUAUAUCACAGAAUGUUACUUGAAACAUUGGGACCUAAACGCCUUGUGGUUUUCAAUCUUAUAGUUAAUACUCUCGCUUAGUGGAGUCUGGAGAGUGAAUCGCAUGAAGAAAAGGUAUUAUGUGGAUUCGUACA